Molecule: ribosomal RNA, 433 nt
Filed under: uncultured bacterium
Lineage: Bacteria
Description: partial 16S ribosomal RNA
Rfam family: Bacterial small subunit ribosomal RNA
Source: RNAcentral
AACGAACGCUGGCGGCAGGCCUAACACAUGCAAGUCGAACGAGACCUUCGGGUCUGGUGGCGCACGGGUGCGUAACGCGGGGGAACCUGCCCUUAAGUUCGGAAGAACUCCCCGAAAGGCGUGCGAAUACCGGAGAAUGUCCUCGGACCAAAGGUUUGUCGCCUUUGGAUGGGCCUGCGUGGGAUUGGCUAGUUGUUAGGGUAAAAGCCUACCAAGGCGACGAUCCAUAGCUGGUCUGAGAGGAUGAUCCGCCACACUGGGACUGAGACACGGCCCAGACUCUUACGGAAGGCGGCAGUGGGUGAUAUUGCCAAGUCGGCGGAAGCCUGAUGCAGCACUGACGCGUAAGUAAUGAAGGUCUUAGGGUUGUGCAGCUAUUUUACCCGGGGUGAUAAUGACAGUACCGGGAGAAUAAGCUCCGGCUAACUCCGUG